Molecule: ribosomal RNA, 288 nt
Filed under: Triticum aestivum (bread wheat)
Lineage: Eukaryota; Viridiplantae; Streptophyta; Magnoliopsida; Poales; Poaceae
Description: partial small subunit ribosomal RNA
Source: RNAcentral
CAGCUAGGUGAUGGAACGACCUGUUUCUUCUGGACCAACCACUGGCUCGAAGGCCCAUCGGUCGCCGAGCUCGCCCCCUCCCUCUUCCGGUUCGUGCCACGUUGCCGGCGCCGCCGCACGACGGUGUGCGAGGGCCUCACGUUGCGUACCUGGAUUGGCGACAUUCAUGGCACCCUCGGGCCGCAAGAGGUGAUCGAGUACGUCGGCUUAUGGCACAAGCUGCAUGGUGCUACCCUCACCUUCAAGCCGGAGCGCAUCAUAUGGCGCUGGACCUCGAAUGGUGUCUGA